GAUCCUGGCUCGGGAUGAACGCUGGCGGCAUGCCUAAUACAUGCAAGUCGAACGAGAGGAAGGAAAGCUUGCUUUUCUGAAUCUAGUGGCGAACGGGUGAGUAACACGUAGGUAACCUGCCCAUGUGCCCGGGAUAACCUCUGGAAACGGAUGCUAAAACCGGAUAGGUAGCAGACAAGCAUUUGACUGCUAUUAAAGUGGCCUUGGCCAUGAACAUGGAUGGACCUGCGGUGCA
Molecule: ribosomal RNA, 235 nt
Filed under: uncultured bacterium
Lineage: Bacteria
Description: partial 16S ribosomal RNA
Rfam family: Bacterial small subunit ribosomal RNA
Source: RNAcentral